RNAcentral lists this ribosomal RNA (759 nucleotides) under Salmonella enterica subsp. enterica. Its description in RNAcentral is "bacterial LSU rRNA". It matches the Rfam family "Bacterial large subunit ribosomal RNA", at positions 2018 to 2776 of the family's 2925-position model. Lineage: Bacteria; Pseudomonadati; Pseudomonadota; Gammaproteobacteria; Enterobacterales; Enterobacteriaceae. The record is from RNAcentral.
GUCUCCACCCGAGACUCAGUGAAAUUGAACUCGCUGUGAAGAUGCAGUGUACCCGCGGCAAGACGGAAAGACCCCGUGAACCUUUACUAUAGCUUGACACUGAACAUUGAGCCUUGAUGUGUAGGAUAGGUGGGAGGCUUUGAAGUGUGGACGCCAGUCUGCAUGGAGCCGACCUUGAAAUACCACCCUUUAAUGUUUGAUGUUCUAACGUGGACCCGUGAUCCGGGUUGCGGACAGUGUCUGGUGGGUAGUUUGACUGGGGCGGUCUCCUCCUAAAGAGUAACGGAGGAGCACGAAGGUUGGCUAAUCCUGGUCGGACAUCAGGAGGUUAGUGCAAUGGCAUAAGCCAGCUUGACUGCGAGCGUGACGGCGCGAGCAGGUGCGAAAGCAGGUCAUAGUGAUCCGGUGGUUCUGAAUGGAAGGGCCAUCGCUCAACGGAUAAAAGGUACUCCGGGGAUAACAGGCUGAUACCGCCCAAGAGUUCAUAUCGACGGCGGUGUUUGGCACCUCGAUGUCGGCUCAUCACAUCCUGGGGCUGAAGUAGGUCCCAAGGGUAUGGCUGUUCGCCAUUUAAAGUGGUACGCGAGCUGGGUUUAGAACGUCGUGAGACAGUUCGGUCCCUAUCUGCCGUGGGCGCUGGAGAACUGAGGGGGGCUGCUCCUAGUACGAGAGGACCGGAGUGGACGCAUCACUGGUGUUCGGGUUGUCAUGCCAAUGGCACUGCCCGGUAGCUAAAUGCGGAAGAGAUAAGUGCUGAAA